This 305-nucleotide ribosomal RNA is filed under the name uncultured bacterium. RNAcentral describes it as "bacterial SSU rRNA". It matches the Rfam family "Bacterial small subunit ribosomal RNA", at positions 333 to 631 of the family's 1533-position model. The record is from RNAcentral.
AGGGUCCUAGGGACGCAGCAGUAGGGAAUCUUCCACAAUGGGCGAAAGCCUGAUGGAGCAACGCCGCGUGGGUGAAGAAGGUCUUCGGAUCGUAAAACCCUGUUGUUAGAGAAGAAAGUGCGUGAGAGUAACUGUUCACGUUUCGACGGUAUCUAACCAGAAAGCCACGGCUAACUACGUGCCAGCAGCCGCGGUAAUACGUAGGUGGCAAGCGUUAUCCGGAUUUAUUGGGCGUAAAGGGAACGCAGGCGGUCUUUUAAGUCUGAUGUGAAAGCCUUCGGCUUAACCGGAGUAGUGCAUUGGAA